Molecule: non-coding RNA, 5018 nt
Organism: Aegilops tauschii subsp. strangulata
Lineage: Eukaryota; Viridiplantae; Streptophyta; Magnoliopsida; Poales; Poaceae
Source: RefSeq, a predicted model, not a curated record
CAAUCAGAGACUCAAAUUCGGAAACGAUUGAUUUUUCCUUCAUACUACGGUGUUUUGACCGUGACCCAGUCGAGCUCCACAUCCCUCGCCGCUUCCUCAACUUAUCUCAACUUCCAGCGCGCCGGAGGAUGAGCAGAAGACGGAGUCGUUGCGGGCCGGCGAGCAGGUACUUAUCUCAACUUCCAGCGCGCCGCCACCACCUGCCGCUCCGCUGCGUGCCGCCACCACCGCCUCGCGCGCCGCCCUGGUCGCCGCCGCCGGCCUUGCGUCGCCUCAACGCCCGACCCCCGAGUCUCGCAGGCCCGCCACACACCUGCUCUCUUCCAACAAUUCCGUGCAUCCCGGCUCGAUUACUUCAGGGAGGAGGAGGAUGACGACGAGGCAGAGCUCCUGGACACGGUCACACGGCCGCCUGUCCCGGGAAGGUCUGCAGCAACGGUGGCCUCUGGUGCACGCGGAUGUCUGUGGAGGCGGAAAUUUAAUUCGACCUCACCUCGGGCUGCCGGCCUCCCCAAGUUCCUGCUGCCGGCGCCCUCCCGAAGCUCCUGCCGGCCUCCUCCCCGAGCCCCAAGCACGAACAAGGAAACCUUGACACACGCUUGCGUCCAGUAGCUCGAUCUGCUGGUGCUAGGAGGGGAUUACCAUUGGAGCUGCAGCAGGUGUUGAGCACUCAUAGUUUCAGAUCUUCCUGACAUCAAUAUGCCGCCGCGACCUUGACGGGCUGGGGCUCAAUGACGACACGCUCUGCCUUUUGGUGCACCUCUUUGCUGUGUUCGACAACCAAGGCGCGGCAAGUUACUCCGGGACUGAUAGAAUCACCACAAAUUGAGAUGAGGCAUUCAAUCGGGAUGGACACACUGACACUCGAGCAGUAGGAUCCCUUGAACUGAAGAAACGAAUACGAACUUAGGAAGAUACAUGCAAUUUAAGUUUGGUCCCGAUGACCAAUAAGCGAAGAACAACCUUCUCCAACUGACAGUGUUAUUCUCCUAAACAAUUUGCCAUUUUGGUAUUUGGAUGGGGAAUAAAGAAGAACAUUCAUCAUUAGUACUUGAAGAGACUUGCCUGGUUGGGGCAGAACAGGAUCUGCUAUAGUGCAUGUUACUUGACUGCUCACUGUACGACUUAAAUAAAAUCAAGACGUAGCGCAUGGCAGGGAGAUGAAGUGUUGAGAAAAAGGACGACGAUGUAAAGGGCAGAUGAUAGAGGAUUACUCAAUAAGUAUGCGGAGCUGCUAUAAAGUUUCCUCCUUUCUGUAUAGUUAUUUCACUAUCCACCUAAAUGUCAUCCCAUGUAUAUGUAGGAAACUAAUUUUGUGUUGCUAAAUUUUCUGUAUAUAUUUAAUAUUAUUCAGUGUUAAACUAAUAAUGAUCGAAACAAUGCUAGACUUACAUGUUGAUUCAUCAUUUGUAGACUUUUGGUUACAACAGAUAGAUAUGAGCAGUUUAGCACUAUUCUUACUUAUAUAUCAAAAUAUAUUAUGAUCAGCAGGCUAAAUCUACCACACGGGUCGUUAGCUCUGUUACCGUAACAUUGCACCAUCCUAACACGUGAGGAAAAUAAUUUCACAAGAUUCUCAUAUUAAGUAUCUAUUCAAAGAGGUAUGUGACAAUGUCUAUGUGCGGGAAGGAGAAAUUCACUCGGUAACAACUCCGAUGCUACGGCUUGCAUGCUGAGAGUUGAGACCUGCUGAGCUUACUCGUACUAUUGUGUGAUGUGUUAACUUACUUUUGUAGUUUCUAUAUGCCAACAUAUAUCAUGCUAUUUUAUGGUUAGUAGUAUUUCAACAUAAUUUUUCUAUUCAUGCAUUGAAGCAAAACUGCAGUUAGUUGCUACAGAGCUAGGAGAUCUUGGUGUAUAAUAAAAUAUAUUAAUAUGGAGGGGUUCCUUUGUCACCUGAUUUGAUAAGGUAUAUAGUACGGAAGUUUUUUUAUUUCAUAAUCAUAUUCUUGAUGUACUGUUUAAUGUAUUUUCUUUUCAGAGAUUUGCCCUUCAAAUUUUCUUGUGAUAGCUAAUUGCCUUUCUGUAAAACUCUUUGUGCGGAUUAGUUGAUAUGAUCAAUGGUCAAACUGUUUGAGUUUCAAAAUCAUUUUAACAUUUCAAAUUUGGGGGUUGUAUAUAUACAACCGGAUAUCAUGUGUAUCAUGCAUAGCGAUCUACUUUGUUCUGUCUGUUAGCAUUAAUUAAUGUCUACUUCUUGAUUAUAUUUGAUAUACUUCAGAUGGUGAGCAUGAUUGUGGGGAUGGUGCGUAUGAGGAUUUUUUUUCCCUUCUCCCAUUGGAACACACAGGUAUAUUUGGGUUUAUAAUAUGGGUUGUUGCCCCAGUUGCUUUUGCUUGGCGAUAAUGGCAAUGCAGUUAUCACCAUGUUUGCACCGUUCUUCACAUGGACAUCCCUACGCUCCUUAUGUUACUGGUCACCAUCACUGUUGAUUAUUUCUCCUUCUAUUCUUUUAUCCAAUAGGUAUUCUCUUACUACAUAUAAAUUUGGAGGACAAAGCAUUUAUUCUGUUGAUAUAUUAAACCCCAAAUUGCUGAGAUGUAACGUCUUCUAUCUGAAUUUGUUUCAUAAAAUUAAUCAUUGGUUUAGUUUGAUAGAUUAAACCCAAAUUAGUUUAUGGACUGAACUAGAAAUAACACAAUCACAUAUUAGUUUUCUUUUUAAAUUUCAUAGUAGAGAUUUAGCCGUCGAUGACCCACUACACGUGGAUGCCACAUCCUUUCUUCCUCACCUAUCGCGCGAAUUUUCAAUGCCGGUCCACUGCGAUCAGGGUACUUGAGGCAGAUAGCUAUAUUCAGCGCAAGUUAUUGAUAUAUUUCUUCAACUACCUCUCAUUUACUGCAUGUUGAUUUUCUCAUGAACUGCUUGCUGCAAAUAUAGGGAGGAGUGGGAGUGCUGUCUUCAUGAAAUUGAGUAUCUCAGAAGAAUUUGGUUUGGCACUUAUUUUCCUCAACCUGUUAUUCUUCAAAUGUGCUUCCCAUGGAUUUGAUAAAUUUGGUGAGAUAAUGUUAUGUGUCAGGUAUGGCCAUAAGAUACUCAUGAAACUUAUUUUAUUUUGCCUCACACAAGAUGUAUGUUGUUUAGACUCAUGUACUGCCAGUACUGGUAGAUCGAUGAUCUAAGGAUCAUAUGAAUGAUUAAUGGAGGAUAAUUCAUAUUCAGUUCUCCUCUCAAUUUUUGUGGUGCCAAGCUUGAUCUUUAUCCAUCUAACUGACUGAAAGUGCCUUCUAAUCACUAUUGAACGCAUAUGUUAGUUAGUUUGACUGUAUACACCACACAAAAAGUAAAAAAUGAAUUCUAGAAAAAAUUAGACACAAAUACUACAGAACCAGUGGACCCUCGAGAAACAAAAGGCACACCUAAAGGAUUUUUUUCUUAACAAAAUGUAUUAAUUUGACUAUUUGAGUAUAAAAAAUGUGCAAUCGCAAUCUUGCUUUUUCAAGGAAAACAGGGGACUGCUACAUACUCGAUAUGGAUCGAGGCUAAUUAUUGAUCUUCCAAGUUAAAAAAUCUGAAAAUAACUUUCAUUUAGUAAUGGAUACAUAGUCAAGAAAGGAUGCCUUUCCCGAAAGAUACAAAACAAAAUCGUGUUCGUGUAUGUCCGGCUGACAGAUGAAUCGAUCUCCUUUCAAGUAUCAACCCAGCAACCUUCGUGUACGUACAUGUGUGCAUCAAGGAUGCACGGGUCCAUUGGCCUGCGUACCACACAUCCCUUCACUAAUUCCAUCAGUAUCAUUCUUAACAAGGUAAGUAUGAUUCCCUAAUCCCUGAUUUUAUUAAUUGAUCUUUGAUGCUUCAUCCCUAAUGUCGUUAUACCUUAUUGAUUCUAUAAAAGAUCUCAAACAGGAACAUACCAUUUUUGAGGCUACGAUUCCUAUAACUUGCCUUGUCAAUUUGAUAAAAUUACAUGUGUAAUGGAGGUUGUAACUUAUUACGGUUUACAUUGUCAGAAUGAUAUCUGUGUCAUCUCUGAACAUAUGUAUAUAUUUGGUGUGCCGGAUUUUCUGAUGUAGAUGCUAUAUAAGAGGAAGCUAUUCGACAAUCCUGCUCAAGUUGGUACGGAUCAGAUCGAUUUUAUUCAGUAAAUAUUUAUGCUUGAUAGAUACAAGCCUCCCUCUUCUGUCCUUCUUUUCUCCAUCCUCUACAGGUCGCCAGCACAUGUGAAUCGUUCUCGUCAAGAGCAUGCUUGUGACAUCAUUACUAUAUGUGAUGCAGGGCAAAAGGAUGCUGUCAGAAUGUAAAAGCACAUUUAACCAUUUCCUGUUUUUUUCCUUGCCUGUUUUCGCCGUCGUAUACACUGCAUCUCCCACUGUAACGGACAGCCAAAUUUGUAUUCUUGAAAGUUUUAAUCAUUUCUAUUGCAACUAAGUGUUCAAGUGCAAUCUCUAGCCAAGUUCUCUUUGUUGUUGUGUUGAAUUUUGAGGAAAGGCGGCCAAGCAGCUCGUGGCAUCUGUGUCACGCCUGCUCUGCCGCUGCCUUGACCCGCCGACGACAUCGUCGGUUGAGCCGCAAGGGUGCAAGAUCAUCGUGGGGCCCAUUGCAUGGGCUCCGAGUAUGCUUGAUUGCCAUGUCGGAGGCGAAGGUGCUAGAGCUUGGUGGCGUGUUUGCAUUUCUGGAUGCAUGAAUAAUUGUCAAGGAGGCCGAAGCCAGCGCUAUUACAGUUGGACUGAAGGAAUUGUAUAACGUAUUCUGAGGCUCCUUGGUGGUGGAGAUCGACUACGCAGUGGGGAAAUGAGCUAGGGGCUGAUUCUAACUGUCAAGAGGGACAAACAAUGGGCUGGCUCAUGAACUAGCCAAUGAUUCUAAAGCUCAUGGAGACCUUGUGGUUGCGUAUGGUGUCCCGGACCAACUCCAUGAUCAGCUCUGGAAGGAAAACAAUGCAGCCUUGACGUCGGCCUAAGUCUUGAUGUAAUCCUCAAAAAAGAUACUGCUUGCAGACAUGUUAUACAUAAACAUGCAUGUUGUAGGUCUGUUAAUUUUAAUUUUGAAUACUGAGAUCUAUUCAGAUGCUUUCCUUA